GAUGAAGAACGUAGUGAAAUGCGAUACUUGGUGUGAAUUGCAGAAUCCCGUGAACCAUCGAGUCUUUGAACGCAAGUUGCGCCCGAAGCCAUUAGGCCGAGGGCACGCCUGCCUGGGCGUCACACGUCGUUGCCCCCCCAUCUACUCCUUCGGGAUUGCGGGGGGCGGAUGAUGGCCUCCCGUGCGCCUCGUCGCGCGGUUGGCAUAAAUGCCAAGUCCCCGGCGACGCACGCCACGACAAUCGGUGGUUGCGAAACCUCGGUUGCCCGUCGUGUGCGGUCGUCGCGCAUCGAGGGCUCGAAAAAAUUGCCGGGCUCCGGCUCGGCUUUCAACGCGACCCCAGGUCAGGCGGGGUUACCCGCUGAAUUUAAGCAUAUCAAUAAGCGGAGGA
This 391-nucleotide unclassified non-coding RNA is filed under the name soil metagenome. RNAcentral describes it as "partial contains 5.8S ribosomal RNA, internal transcribed spacer 2, and large subunit ribosomal RNA". The stretch from base 1 to 122 matches the Rfam family "5.8S ribosomal RNA", at positions 35 to 154 of the family's 154-position model. The record is from RNAcentral.